Molecule: small RNA, 342 nt
Filed under: Pan troglodytes (chimpanzee)
Lineage: Eukaryota; Metazoa; Chordata; Mammalia; Primates; Hominidae
Description: processed transcript
Source: RNAcentral
CAAGCUGCGGAAGGGCUGGGAGCUCUUCGAGUGCUGGAAACCUAUGCAGGCCCGGAGGUCUCCCAGUGGGCGUCUCGGAAAACCGUGAACAACUUCCUGAGCAUGGGCCUGAAUCAUCCCAGCCAGCUGGUGAGGGUCAGGAGCCUGAGGGGCCUCAGCAGUGCCUUAAUGCACCCCAAGAAGGUCCAGCUGAUGGGGCUGCUGGACAGCUUCCUGAAGACUGAGCCCGAGGACCUUACAGGCCUGAUGGAGAUCCUGGGUGACAUUCUUCACCGCCUGGGCACCCAGGGCCUCGGUGCCACCAGCGUCAUGAUGGCCCAGCACCUGCUGCCCUUGGUCGAG